UCUUUGGUGGUCUAGUGGUUAAGAUUUGGCACUUUCACUGCUGCGGCCCAGGUUCACUCCCUGGUCUGGGGA
This 72-nucleotide transfer RNA is filed under the name Sus scrofa (pig). It matches the Rfam family "tRNA". From Rfam's summary of the family: Transfer RNA (tRNA) molecules are approximately 80 nucleotides in length. Lineage: Eukaryota; Metazoa; Chordata; Mammalia; Artiodactyla; Suidae. The record is from Rfam by way of RNAcentral.